GACGAACGCUGGCGGCGUGCUUAACACAUGCAAGUCGAGCGGUAAGGCUCCUUCGGGCGUACACGAGCGGCGAACGGGUGAGUAACACGUGAGUAAUCUGCCCUUCACUUCGGGAUAACCACCGGAAACGGUGGCUAAUACCGAAUACGACCAGUCUUCGCAUGAGGUGCUGGUGGAAAGUCUUUUCGGUGAAGGAUGUGCUCGCGGCCUAUCAGCUUGUUGGUGGGGUAAUGGCCUACCAAGGCUUCGACGGGUAGCCGGCCUGAGAGGGUGACCGGCCACACUGGGACUGAGACACGGACCAGACUCCUACGGGAGGCAGCAGUGGGGAAUAUUGGACAAUGGGCGAAAGCCUGAUCCAGCAACGCCGCGUGAGGGAUGACGGCCUUCGGGUUGUAAACCUCGUUCAGUACCGACGAAGCGCCCUGUCGGGUGGUGACGGUAGGUACAGAAGAAGGACCGGCCAACUACGUG
Molecule: ribosomal RNA, 474 nt
Filed under: uncultured bacterium
Lineage: Bacteria
Description: partial 16S ribosomal RNA
Rfam family: Bacterial small subunit ribosomal RNA
Source: RNAcentral